CAAUCGAACCCGGAGAUAGCUGGUUCUCCUCGAAAUAGCUUUAGGGCUAGCCUCGACUUAGUCAGACGGAGGUAGAGCACUGAAUUCCUGAGGGGGCGUCAAAGCCUGCCAAGGGAUAUCAAACUGCGAAUGCCGUCCUGAUGAUGGUCGGGAGUCAGACUGCACGAGAUAAGUUGGGCAGUCAAAAGGGAAAGAGCCCAGACCUACAGCUAAGGUCCCAAAAUACGUGUUAAGUGGAAAAGGAUGUGGGAUUUCGAAGACAGCUAGGAUGUUGGCUUAGAAGCAGCCACACAUUCAAAGAGUGCGUAAUAGCUCACUAGUCGAGAGGUCCUGCGCCGAAAAUUUCCGGGGCUGAAACACGAUACCGAAGCUUAGGAAUGUAGCAAUACAUUGGUAGAGGAGCAAUCUCAGAGUGCCGAAGCGCUACCGCAAGGAAGCGUGGAGUUCUGAGAAGAGAGAAUGCCGGAAUGAGUAGCGAGAAUGAUGUGAGAAUCAUCAUGGCCGAAUAUCCAAGGAUUCCAGGGUAAAGCUGAUCUGCCCUGGGUAAGUCGGGACCUAAGGCGAGGGAGAGAUCCGUAGUCGAUGGACAGCAGGUUCAUAUUCCUGCACCUGACAUGAUCAGAACUGUGGGGACACAGGAACAAAACCGGACCCGGGAGAGCAAAGACCGGGCGAAGCGAAGCUAGGAGUGCGGUAGGCAAAUCCGCCGCACAAUCCGAAAGCGUGACAGGGAGCGAAAUAUAAGUAGCGAAGCCGGUGGAGGAACUGUCGAGAAAAGCCGCUAUUGUAUCAUGUCAGCCCGUACCGCAAACCGACACAGGUGGAUGAGGAGAGAAUCCUAAGGCCGGCGGGAGAAGCAUUGUUAAGGAACUCGGCAAAAUGACCCCGUAACUUCGGGAGAAGGGGUGCUGCAGAGAUGCAGCCGCAGAGAAAAGGCUCAAGCAACUGUUUAGCAAAAACACAGGUCUAUGCGAAACCGUAAGGUGAGGUAUAUGGGCUGACGCCUGCCCGGUGCUGGAAGGUUAAGAGGAGAGGUUAGCUAAGGCGAAGCUUUGAAUUUAAGCCCCAGUAAACGGCGGCCGUAACUAUAACGGUCCUAAGGUAGCGAAAUUCCUUGUCGGGUAAGUUCCGACCCGCACGAAAGGCGUAAUGAUUUGAGCGCUGUCUCAACAAUGCACCCGGUGAAAUUGAAGUACCAGUGAAGAUGCUGGUUACCCGCGCCAGGACGGAAAGACCCCAUGGAGCUUUACUCCAGUUUGGUACUGGGAUUCGGUGCUGCAUGUACAGGAUAGGUGGGAGACUGAGAGCCCAGGACGUCAGUCCUGGAGGAGUCGCUGUUGGGAUACCACCCUUGCAGUAUUGGAUUUCUAACCUGCGGCCGUGACCCGGUCGGGGGACAAUGCCAGGCGGGGAGUUUGACUGGGGCGGUCGCCUCCGAAAGGGUAUCGGAGGCGCUCAAAGGUUCCCUCAGAAUGGUCGGAAACCAUUCAAAGAGUGCAAAGGCAGAAGGGAGCUUGACUGCGACACCGACGGGUGGAGCAGGUACGAAAGUAGGACUUAGUGAUCCGGUGGUAUAAAGUGGGAUUGCCAUCGCUCAACGGAUAAAAGCUACCCUGGGGAUAACAGGCUUAUCACUCCCAAGAGUUCACAUCGACGGAGUGGUUUGGCACCUCGAUGUCGGCUCAUCGCAUCCUGGGGCUGAAGUCGGUCCCAAGGGUUGGGCUGUUCGCCCAUUAAAGCGGUACGCGAGCUGGGUUCAGAACGUCGUGAGACAGUUCGGUCCCUAUCCGUCGUGGGCGUAGGAAAUUUGAGAGGAGCUGUCCUUAGUACGAGAGGACCGGGAUGGACGUAUCAAUGGUGUACCAGUUGUCACGCCAGUGGCAUAGCUGGGUAGCUAAAUACGGAAGGGAUAAGAGCUGAAAGCAUCUAAGCAUGAAGCCCCCCUCGAGAUGAGAUUUCCCACGGAUAUUAAGACCCCUUGAAGACGACAAGGAGAAUAGGUUAGGAGUGUAAGCACGGUAACGUGUUCAGCUGACUAAUACUAAUAGGUCGAGGACUUAAUCAA
RNAcentral lists this ribosomal RNA (2065 nucleotides) under human oral metagenome. RNAcentral's name for it is "bacterial LSU rRNA". It matches the Rfam family "Bacterial large subunit ribosomal RNA", at positions 830 to 2925 of the family's 2925-position model. The record is from RNAcentral.